Molecule: ribosomal RNA, 311 nt
Filed under: uncultured prokaryote
Description: bacterial SSU rRNA
Rfam family: Bacterial small subunit ribosomal RNA
Source: RNAcentral
AGAAUCAACGCUGGCGGCGUGCCUAACACAUGCAAGUCGCACGAGAAAGGGUAGCAAUACCUGAGUACAGUGGCGCACGGGUGAGUAACACGUGACUAACCUACCCUCGAGUGGGGAAUAACCUAGGGAAACCUGGGCUAAUACCGCAUAACACUUACGAGUCAAAGCAGCAAUGCGCUUGGGGAGGGGUCGCGGCCGAUUAGCUAGUUGGCGGGGUAAAGGCCUACCAAGGCUACGAUCGGUAGCUGGUCUGAGAGGACGACCAGCCACACUGGGACUGAGACACGGCCCAGACUCCUACGGGAGGCAGC